Daphnia carinata is the source of this 254-nucleotide long non-coding RNA. RefSeq lists it as uncharacterized. The transcript has 3 exons. Lineage: Eukaryota; Metazoa; Arthropoda; Branchiopoda; Diplostraca; Daphniidae. The record is from RefSeq and is a predicted model, not a curated record.
CUCAUGGUGUUUAGCUGCUGGUGAAGGUACAACUCUGCUACGCUCACUGAGAUUAUACGUCCUGAAUGGUUUCCAUGGCGUACAAGGUUGUAGAUUGUCAUCUUAUUUAAUAUAUGCAGUUCCGUGUGGGCUUAUGGUGUUUGGAUGCUGACGUUGGCAUUGCUGAUCUAAGCACUAAGGUCCUUUAUGUGAAGGAUUAUAAUUUCCUGGCUAGACGAAAGAAUAGGGAUUUCUUUUGUUCUAUUCUCGUUUCU